RNAcentral lists this ribosomal RNA (664 nucleotides) under uncultured Acidobacteriota bacterium. RNAcentral describes it as "bacterial SSU rRNA". It matches the Rfam family "Bacterial small subunit ribosomal RNA", at positions 49 to 721 of the family's 1533-position model. The record is from RNAcentral. Lineage: Bacteria; Pseudomonadati; Acidobacteriota.
UAACACAUGCAAGUCGAGCGAGAAAGGGGCUUCGGCCCUGAGUAAAGCGGCGCACGGGUGAGUAACACGUGGGUAAUCUGCCCUAGAGUGGGGAAUAACACCGGGAAACCGGUGCUAAUACCGCAUACGAUCGCGAUGUCUUCGGAUGUUGCGAUGAAAGGAGCAAUUCGCUCUUGGAGGAGCCCGCGGCUGAUUAGCUAGUUGGUGAGGUAACGGCUCACCAAGGCAACGAUCAGUAGCCGGUCUGAGAGGACGGUCGGCCACACUGGAACUGAGACACGGUCCAGACUCCUACGGGAGGCAGCAGUGGGGAAUUUUUCGCAAUGGGGGCAACCCUGACGAAGCAACGCCGCGUGGGUGAUGAAGUCUCUUGGGACGUAAAACCCUUUCGACGGGGAAGAAACCGCAAGGUUGACGGUACCCGUAGAAGAAGCCCCGGCUAACUCCGUGCCAGCAGCCGCGGUAAUACGGGGGGGGCAAGCGUUGUUCGGAAUUACUGGGCGUAAAGGGCGCGUAGGCGGUCCGCUAAGUUGAAUGUGAAAACUCUGGGCUUAACCCAGAGCCUGCAUUCAAUACUGGCGGGCUAGAGUUCUGGAGGGGAUAGCGGAAUUCCUGGUGUAGCGGUGAAAUGCGUAGAUAUCAGGAGGAACACCGGUGGCGAAGG